Molecule: long non-coding RNA, 1254 nt
Organism: Phymastichus coffea
Lineage: Eukaryota; Metazoa; Arthropoda; Insecta; Hymenoptera; Eulophidae
Exons: 3
Source: RefSeq, a predicted model, not a curated record
CAUCGCAAUCCACAGAAGUGCUCUACAUGGACACAUCGAUAAGUUAAAAAUACCAAAACUUAGAAACUCAGAAACUUUAAGCUAAUAGAUAUACAUAUUAAAGAAUUUGAACAAGUUAUAGACAUGAUUGUUUUUAACCAUCUAAGUUUGUAAUUAUUUAUUAUUAAACGUAUCAUUUUCUAUUAUUUUAUUAAUUCAUGAAGUAAUAGCUUAAAUUGAAUAACUUAAUUGCUACAGUCUACAUCUACUAUUCCUACAUAGUAUUUUUUAAUUUGGUCAACAAGAAGAAUUUUUUUAACCAUUAAAAUUGUUCAUAUUUAUUUUUCAAAUCAUCAAAAUGGUCACAUAACGAUUCCAGCUUAAAUGAUUAUUCUAUCUACGAUUUUUUUAUUUUUUGUAUGACGUAUUGAAAAUACAAAAUAAGUUUAUGUAAAAAAUAUGUUGAAAAAAAUUAUAGUAUUUAUAGAAAAAUGAAAUCGUAAUUAAUAUUAAUCAGGAAAAUGCAGACUGUAAAUAAGGCAGAGGCAAUGUGAAGGCAUUAUAGUACUUAUAAUAAAAGGGCGAUUGCAUAUGAAGACUAUCAGUGUAGUCACAAUUGGUGUAGCAUUGCAUUAACUUGCCACCAUCGCAUCCACAUUUUUGACUUUUAAUUACUUUGUUUUCAUUUUAUUGCUAUAAAAUUAGAUUAUUUCACAAAUUAUUUUCAAAGUAUAAAAACAGUACAUCGAAAAAAAUUUUUGACAGAAUAUUAACUGAAACGAAUGAAGCAAUUUGUUUGAGUAUUUUCAAUAAAACUGGAUUAGCAAAGAUGAUAUCAAGAUAUCUAGCAUGGAAGUUUAUUUAUGUUUAAGAUUCAAUUUGAACUAACUAGAUUUUUGCAGCACGAGAAUCAGUCAGAUAGCAGAAAUGAAAUAAUAGUUAAUUUCAUAUCCUUUACUUUCUGGUGUCCAUUGCAUUGGCAAUAUAUGACUGACCAACCCGAGUUCGAUUCGUUGAGAACUAUACAUGCAGACAUUCUCAAAGAUAUUUUUCGAUGUUUUGUGGCUCAACCCAAGAUUUACUAAACACAAUCUAGUAAAUUAAAAUUGACUGUUUAGAUUCCUUAAUAGUACAAUAAAUAUUAUGACUUAAAAUUGACACAUUACUGAAAUAAUUUAAAAUAAAACAAUUUAAUUUUUUUAACUAAUUUUAUCUAUUUUUAUAUUUAAUGUAUAGAUUUGUAUUUCUUACGUAACGAAAAAAAUUGUUGUGAAA